AAACUUUCAACAAUGGAUCUCUUGGUUCCGGCAUCGAUGAAGAACGCAGCGAAAUGUGAUAAGUAAUGUGAAUUGCAGAAUUCCGUGAAUCAUCGAAUCUUUGAACGCAUAUUGCGCUCCCUGGCAGUCCAGAGAGCAUGCCUGUCCGAGCGUCAGU
Molecule: ribosomal RNA, 157 nt
Filed under: uncultured Elaphomyces
Lineage: Eukaryota; Fungi; Ascomycota; Eurotiomycetes; Eurotiales; Elaphomycetaceae
Description: 5.8S ribosomal RNA
Rfam family: 5.8S ribosomal RNA
About the family: 5.8S ribosomal RNA (5.8S rRNA) is a component of the large subunit of the eukaryotic ribosome.
Source: RNAcentral